UGAGAUCAGUAAUUGGCCACUGGGAACUAUAAAUUAUAGUUCUCACGCUCUCUGUUUUAUGUUUUCUUUCAGAGCCUUCCACGCCGGGAGAGGCUAGGGACCGUGGGAAGGGCAUUGCUUCGAGCUAGCUCUUCAGCGAGGGACGAGUUGAUAGGUGGUCUACCUCUCGAUGUAUUUAUUUUGGAGAGGUUGAGAGCUAUACCAGUGUAUUAG
This 213-nucleotide long non-coding RNA is filed under the name Ananas comosus (pineapple). RNAcentral describes it as "long non-coding RNA (ACOM_LNC043404)". Lineage: Eukaryota; Viridiplantae; Streptophyta; Magnoliopsida; Poales; Bromeliaceae. The record is from RNAcentral.